Molecule: ribosomal RNA, 206 nt
Filed under: uncultured bacterium
Lineage: Bacteria
Description: partial 16S ribosomal RNA
Rfam family: Bacterial small subunit ribosomal RNA
Source: RNAcentral
CAUGUAGGCGGUUGUUUAAGUCUGAUGUGAAAGCCCUGGGCUCAACCCAGGAAGUGCAUUGGAUACUGGCAACUUGAGUACGGGAGAGGAAAGUGGAAUUUCGAGUGUAGGGGUGAAAUCCGUAGAUAUUCGAAGGAACACCAGUGGCGAAGGCGGCUUUCUGGACCGAUACUGACGCUGAGAUGCGAAAGCGUGGGGAGCAAACA